Molecule: ribosomal RNA, 1191 nt
Filed under: Triticum aestivum (bread wheat)
Lineage: Eukaryota; Viridiplantae; Streptophyta; Magnoliopsida; Poales; Poaceae
Description: partial small subunit ribosomal RNA
Source: RNAcentral
AUGAGCCCCCCACCGCCGCAGCGCGGCCGCCACUCGCCGCCGGCGCUGGACGACGACGCCAUGAGCGAGAUCUUCCUGCGCAUCCCGCCGGACGACCCCAAGAGCCUCGUCCGCGCCGCCGCCGUCUGCGCGACCUGGCGCCGCAUCCUCUCCGACGCCGCCUUCGCCCGCGGCUACCGCGCCUUCCACGGGGCGCCGCCCAUGCUGGGCUUCCUCCACAACGAGAGCCACGAGAGGUCGUGGGGCAGGGGGCGGCGCAGGCGCCACGAGGAGUACCUGGUCUCCAACUUCGUCUCCACCGCGUCCUUCCGCCCGCCGGCGUGCCACGAGCGCCGCCACUGGCCCGCCAUCGACUCCCGCCACGGCCUCGUCCUCUUCCACACGCCCAAGAGGUGCGAGGACUUUGUCAUCUGCGACCUCGUCACCUACGACCGGUGGAGGAUCAAGGCCGACCCCGCCUGCCGUCGCAUCAUCUGGAAUGGCCGGUUUGAUGAGGACUGGGGCGACUACGAGGAUGAGGACGACGACGUCACCUGGAACGCCGCGGUGCUCUGUGCCAAGGACGGCUGCGAGCACCUCUACUGCCACGGCGGGCCUUUCCUCGUGGCCCUCGUGGGCUCCGACAGGGGACGGCAGAUAACAUUUGCCACCGUCUACUCAUCGGCGACUCGUAAGUGGAGCGGCAUGAUCUCCGUCAAGGAAUGGAAUGUCGUCGAGAUGACCGGGCACAAUGCAGUUGUGGGAAACAAGGCCUAUUUCCCCUGUGAGCAGAGCGACAGUGUCGUGGAGUAUGACAUGGGUGAGCAAAAACUGUCGGUGAUAGGUGCGCCGUUCGGCAGACUGGUGGGAGCGGAGGGCGGCCUGCUCCUGUUCGCAACUGUGCUGAAGCCUAGGCUCCACCUCCACAUAUGGUCAAUGGAGGUCCGUCCUGAUAGAACUACGGCUUUGGCGCGACGCAGGAUCAUUGAGCUCGCACCAAAGCUCUCUGGUUAUGCCUUCUUGGACGUGUCGGUGGUUGGCUUUGCAGAAGGUGUUGGUGUCAUCUUCCUGAGCACAAAGGCUGGGUUGUACACAGUUGAGCUCAGUUCGAGCCGAAUCAAGAACAUGGACAGAGAGCGAAGCCUCGGAAAAAUCAUGCCAUACAUGUGCUUCUACACUAGAGAAUGGGGGCGGUUGCCGACCUCUGACUGA